AUCCCAUCUCUGAAAGCAGCCACCUCCAUCUUGGGACACAUCUUUGUCGCCAUUCUUAACUUGAGGCAACUCCCAACUUGGGACACUGGCUAGGGCUUAGAAAGCAAUAUCAAGGUACCUAUAGUCCCCAACUCCGCCCUCUCCCCCACAGCCACUAGCCCAGCACAGUGCUUGCAGUUACAUGGCUGGUCCGUAACUCACAAAGCCUGGCCCUGAACUGCCCAAUAGAAAACAGCUCUCUGAGACAGGUGUACAGCCCCCAGAGCGCAGCCUACAAGACCUCCAAAGACAGAGGUUCCUGACUAGGAAGUAGAAAGGGAGAAGGUGCGUGAGAUACAGUUUAGAGACUAAAUUAGAGAUCAGGAUAUGUGAGGUCUACAGGCAAUAUAAGGAGAUAGGACCAGACACCCACAUAACCCAAGUGGGCCCCAAGGAGAGCCUUGGGAUAAAACAAGGGGAAAAAAACAAGGGGAAGAAAUUUCCCCCAACAAACUAAGAUGCUACAUUAUCAGAAUCCAUGGCUAGCACAGUAGAAGAAGUGUCAGAAAAGAAGGUCAAGGCUCUUGCAGUCUCCCAACAGGGACCAGCAAGUGCUAUACCCAACCUCUAGGAGCUCCACCCCCAACACCACCCUCUCACACUAAUAACCUUCAACAUCCAGAGGGUGGAGAACCCAGCAAACAACAGACCACCCCACCUAUUGGAUGAGAAGGGAAGCAGGAAAUAUACUGAACUCCAACAGAAACAAUCCUCUACUUUUCCUUCUAUUCUUUCCUUUUCUUUUCUUUUUCUUUCUUUUUUCUUUUCUCUCUCUUUUCCCACCUUCACAUCCCCAACACUUGUGAAACCAAGUACUUUUCAUGGAUUAGACUACUGAGAACUGGGAUGUCUGAUUAGCAUAUUACAGUUGUGUUCCAUAUACUUUUAUUUCCUAUUUUUACAUUUUUUAUUUUCUUAAUUUUUGUUUAUUUUUUGUUCUCUCUCUAUUGGCUUCUCACUUACUUGCCCCCCCCAUCACUUUCUCUCUUUCUCCUGCUACUAGACAACUUCUUUGAUUCCUCUUUCUUGCUUCCUAAGAUCUAAUAACUAUAUCCUCACCUCCUAUCUCUUUAAUAUCUCAUCUUACACCUCCCCCUCCAGUUCUCUCUUAGUCCACCAUCAGAAACUGUCAACCCUUUUGCAAACCUAUUGUUUAUAUUGUAGAUAAUAAGUGAGCUCAACAUUUUUGUGUAUUGUGACAAAACCAUAAACAUCUUAAUAGGAGCUAUUUGGUUUAAAGCUGUAUGUAUAUUGUUUGUAUUGGGAUCUGUUAACAUUGAUUUCCCCCAUAAAGGAGAGGUAUUGGAACUCUGCAUGACACAAUAAACCUAUAGGGUAAAAACUGUAACACCUUAGAUCCCC
This 1401-nucleotide long non-coding RNA is filed under the name Marmota monax (woodchuck). Lineage: Eukaryota; Metazoa; Chordata; Mammalia; Rodentia; Sciuridae. The record is from RNAcentral.